GACAGAGGGUGCAAACGUUGUUCGGAAUUACUGGGCGUAAAGCGCGUGUAGGCGGUUUCGUAAGUCGGAUGUGAAAGCCCCGGGCUCAACUCGGGAAGUGCACUCGAUACUGCGAGGCUAGAGUAUCGGAGAGGUUGGUGGAAUUCUCGGUGUAGAGGUGAAAUUCGUAGAUAUCGAGAGGAACACCGGUGGCGAAGGCGGCCAACUGGACGAAUACUGACGCUGAGACUCGAAAGCGUGGGUAGCAAACGGG
Molecule: ribosomal RNA, 253 nt
Filed under: uncultured bacterium
Lineage: Bacteria
Description: partial 16S ribosomal RNA
Rfam family: Bacterial small subunit ribosomal RNA
Source: RNAcentral